Molecule: microRNA precursor, 52 nt
Organism: Ovis aries (sheep)
Lineage: Eukaryota; Metazoa; Chordata; Mammalia; Artiodactyla; Bovidae
Rfam family: mir-1302 microRNA precursor family
Source: Rfam
GUUUUAGUGUAAGUGUGUUCCAUGCUAUGUUUGGAAUAUACUUAUACUAAAA